CCCUGAGACUUUAAGUCUCCUGAAGGAACGUUGAAGACGACGACGUUGAUAGGCCGGGUGUGUAAGCGCAGCGAUGCGUUGAGCUAACCGGUACUAAUGAACCGUGAGGCUUAACCUUA
This 119-nucleotide ribosomal RNA is filed under the name Klebsiella quasipneumoniae. RNAcentral describes it as "23S rRNA. Bacterial LSU". It matches the Rfam family "Bacterial large subunit ribosomal RNA", at positions 2797 to 2925 of the family's 2925-position model. The record is from RNAcentral. Lineage: Bacteria; Pseudomonadati; Pseudomonadota; Gammaproteobacteria; Enterobacterales; Enterobacteriaceae.